GAUGAACGCUGGCGGCGUGCCUAAUACAUGCAAGUCGAGCGAACAGACGAGGAGCUUGCUCCUCUGACGUUAGCGGCGGACGGGUGAGUAACACGUGGAUAACCUACCUAUAAGACUGGGAUAACUUCGGGAAACCGGAGCUAAUACCGGAUAAUAUAUUGAACCGCAUGGUUCAAUAGUGAAAGACGGUUUUGCUGUCACUUAUAGAUGGAUCCGCGCCGCAUUAGCUAGUUGGUAAGGUAACGGCUUACCAAGGCAACGAUGCGUAGCCGACCUGAGAGGGUGAUCGGCCACACUGGAACUGAGACAACGGCCAGACUCCUAAGGGAGGGAGGCAUAGGGAAUCUUCCGCAAUGGGCGGAAGCUUGACGGAGCAAAGGCGCGGGGGUGAUGAAGGUCUUCGGAUCGUAAAACCUUGUUAUUGAGGAAAAACAAAUGUGGAAGGAAAUAUGCACGUCUUGGCGGUAACCUAUCAAAAAGCCACGGCUAACUACGUG
Molecule: ribosomal RNA, 497 nt
Filed under: uncultured bacterium
Lineage: Bacteria
Description: partial 16S ribosomal RNA
Rfam family: Bacterial small subunit ribosomal RNA
Source: RNAcentral